UGGCCAAGCUAGGGGUGUCUGGGAUCCUUGCCCAGGCUGAGAACACACCCUUAGAACCUGAUCCGGUUCAAACCGGCGUAGGAAAGCUACUUUUUUGAGGA
Molecule: non-coding RNA, 101 nt
Filed under: Limnothrix sp. P13C2
Lineage: Bacteria; Bacillati; Cyanobacteriota; Cyanophyceae; Pseudanabaenales; Pseudanabaenaceae
Also listed under: 1 other name
Description: TPP riboswitch aptamer (THI element)
Rfam family: TPP riboswitch aptamer (THI element)
About the family: Vitamin B(1) in its active form thiamin pyrophosphate (TPP) is an essential coenzyme that is synthesised by coupling of pyrimidine and thiazole moieties in bacteria. The previously detected thiamin-regulatory element, thi box was extended, resulting in a new, highly conserved RNA secondary structure, the THI element, which is widely distributed in eubacteria and also occurs in some archaea.
Source: Rfam by way of RNAcentral